RNAcentral lists this ribosomal RNA (239 nucleotides) under uncultured bacterium. Its description in RNAcentral is "partial 16S ribosomal RNA". It matches the Rfam family "Bacterial small subunit ribosomal RNA", at positions 95 to 334 of the family's 1533-position model. The record is from RNAcentral.
CCGGCGAACGGGUGCGUAACACGUGAGCAACCUACCGAUUUGUGGGGGAUAGCCGGCCCAACGGCCGGGUAAUACCGCAUACGCUUGUAAGGCCUCCUGGUCUAACAAGGAAACCUCCGGGGCAAAUCGAGGGGCUCGCGGCCUAUCAGCUAGUUGGCGAGGUCACGGCUCACCAAGGCGACGACGGGUAGCUGGUCUGAGAGGAUGGCCAGCCACAUUGGGACUGAGAAACGGCCCAG